GGGGAUUUAGCUCAGUGGUAGAGCGCUUGCCUAGCAAGCACAAGGCCCUGGGUUCGAUCCCCAGCUCCG
Molecule: non-coding RNA, 69 nt
Organism: Rattus norvegicus (Norway rat)
Lineage: Eukaryota; Metazoa; Chordata; Mammalia; Rodentia; Muridae
Source: Rfam